Molecule: long non-coding RNA, 2870 nt
Organism: Paramacrobiotus metropolitanus
Lineage: Eukaryota; Metazoa; Tardigrada; Eutardigrada; Parachela; Macrobiotidae
Exons: 9
Source: RefSeq, a predicted model, not a curated record
CUCGCUUCUAAAUCUGGAUUCUGGAAGCUUCGUAACAAAUACAGCGAGCACGCGCUAAAUUACUUACGUUUGCAUUUGCCGAGAAAUCAUCCUUCCAAUCUUGGUUUACAUCUAAUCCGAGUCCGCAAAGGAUCAAUGCAGUGCCCACUUGAGGAACGUUCUUAGGAUUAAGACCAACGGCUUCCAUUGGGGACUGCAUCAUCCACUUACUGCUAAAUUCCGUUAAAGGAGUGAUCCUGGAUAAUUCGCGCACCUCACACAUAUCCGUGUGUUGCCUGGAACAUAUACCGGAACAGCGUACGUGCGGUUUUGAUGCUCUACGCGGCGAGCUGAUGGCACUGCAGCUUCUCUACGAAGAGCGUUACCAUCGCAGCACGCUGCCGUGACAGCGAGACGGCCGCAUUGGAUGGGCAUAUCUUAUAACAUCGAUUUCGUUCUGGAAGACUUGAGCUGAUUCCGAGCACGGGUUGCCAGUCGAGCAUCGGAAAACCGCGUUCGACUCAAAGACGGGAUACCGAGUGGCCGGACGAAGUUACCAUUGUUCCUUGUAGCGAUAAGAAGACGGAAGCGGGGAAAUUAUGGAGAAACCGCUGCUACGAAAGUGCGAGGGGCCUGCGGGCUGAUACGGGUUGCACCUAUUUGUUGUCACCCUCCCAGCAAAAUUCACAUCAAUGCAGCCGGGCAUCAGUGCCGCCCGUGAAGAACUAGAAUUGGUCAGCAGUGAAUGGUUUGCACCGGAGCUGGUGCCGCGAUCAGGGCACAGUGCACACGAUGUCAUAACUACAAUAGCUGAACCGAGUCAACCGACUGUUGGGGACCGCCAACGAAGUUCUGCUUAAGAAUUGUCCGGGACGAUUUGCGAAUGUAGUGGUUACCGUUGGCCGGGGGAGAAGGCCGAGGCAAAUCGAAAUUGCGGAAACAGCCCAUAUACUAUGUUGAUAUUCUUACUUUCUACAAAAUAUGAGAUUUUUCUCAAUUUGGAGCCUCCCUAUGUGCCGCGAUGGAUAAAAACAACAAGCCCACGAUGACACGGUAUCGGGCGCUGUUGGUUAGUGCCAACGGGAUGAGUUACCAGAACACGGUGGCCGUCCGCGUAAAUAACGACACGUGGUGGCUAGGAUACAUUCAAGACAUCGCGGACGACAAAGCCUAUAUAGACUUUGAUUCCAUAAUUAUCACGCCCAAGUGGAUAAGCAUGAACUGCAUCUGGGCGCUGCCCUUCUACUGGGAGACCGAUGCGGCUCUCGUGGUCAACCGUAAUGCGAAAUGCUACGUGGCCUUAAUUGCGGGGCGGAAAUGGCGGAUCACUGCUCUUUCGACGCGCCACCCGGCGGCGCUACCUUCAGCGAUGUAAUAAUAAUAACUGGUUUAUUGUCCUUUGCUACGAGGCUUCGCCUCCUUUUAAGCUAAGACAGGAAAUUCUAAAUAAGUAGAGAAAACAAAAAGCGUGAGGUCACAACCCAUCUGCCGGCUGCCGGCUUUUUGGGGUCAACCUUUUUCGGCAAAUAAACACCGGCUUCGGCUUUUUCGUUAACGUAUUACUCUAGAAAGUGUAUUUGGAGAGAAAUUGAUUGAUUGGUUUUCGAGAAAAAUUCGGACACUUGAAAGUCGGCUGCUGGUUGCCGGCUGCCUCUCCUGUGCUGCACACCGCUUCUGCCAGAAACACCAUCCGACCGCCCACUUCGAAAUAGCCGCUAACGGCCAAGUGGCCGGUAUCUGGCCGCCGACGGAUCCGCCGUUGCUGCAGCAGCACAGCGGUUUGCUCUACACCAAGCACGUUAUCCCCUUUGACGCAGCGCAGGACGUCCUCAGCGACGCCGCGGACAGAUCCCGCAUUAUCAAGCACCUGCGCGACGCAUUUCGCCAGUUGCUCAAAGCAUUUCGACCAACCCGCGAAAUGCCGGUGCCCUACCCGUUUAGCCGGUGUCGCUUUCACCUGCGCGUGGAGCCGGGUCGCUGCACGUUAUUGUCGCCAGUUUCAGCAGGAGCGCGGAGGCGGUCCACACGACGGAGGUUACGUUGGCCAGAGCCUUCGAGACGCAUCUAGUCAGCCGGAUCGAUCUGCCGUCCCUCCGGUUUCGUGACGCCCGUCUACAGGGAGCCGGUGUGGAAAGCAGCGUUGAGCAGGCGACCGCGCAAAUUGGUGAACAGCCGGCACAUCUCGUCAGGAAGAUCCUGGCCCAUCUGGACCUACACUCGCAAAUGAGGACUAAGAGGGUGUGCGCGUUGUGGCAGUUAUUGCUGAGCCACUCUCGAAUGGCGGAGCACGUCAGCCUGUCCUUCGAAAGCUGCUGGCCGCUGCAAUAGGACACGGACAACUGCUUCAAAGCGGCCAGCCUCAUGAGCCGCUCCAUCACGCCCGCCACCAUCAGUCUGACGCUGCUGCCGCUCCUUCCUUCCAGUCACGUCACAGUGUUACUGCCCUGGUUGCAAGACAACCGCAUCCAUCUGCGCUGCAUCGCCUUCAAAGACUACACCAGUCCCCCGCCGCUCGCGCCACGCGCCCUCUCGUCACCCGGCCACACUGCUGGCCUUCAGGUUUAAGCACCUGUGCGACGCCCUGCUGCUGUGCAACUGGACGGUCGGCCAGCUCUUCGGCUCGACGAUGUACUACGCCUUUGAGUGCGAUCCCUACCUGACGUUCCGCCCACCCGCCCAUCUCCUGCGGGCCCGCGAGCAGGACCGCAUGCGGCACCUGACGCCAGAGUCCUGCGCAUUGGACGUUGACCAGCUGCGCGUCUCCAUUCCGCGGCUGCAGCGACGGCCGCACGCGCAUGUCGGCGCGCUUCAUGCACGCGGUGGACGCCCACUUCCCGCCGGUCACCGCGGAAAUGAUAGCAAAGGUCACGGCGGUGCACGCGCGCUGGGUG